UGCGGAGGGAUCAUUAGUGAGCCACCUGCUCUCUAACCUUUUAAACCCCUGUGAACUGUGGAUACUGUUGGCCAGUCGGAUAAUAUUUGUUGCCUCGGUGGGCGACCCCUGGGAGGGGUUCGUAGGCUGCUUGCCACGUGCAGCAGCGCCCGCCGGUAGGAGGCGCUUUGCAACUUCUUUUAUACAGCCUACACUUGGGUUGGUAUUUCUCUGAGUUAUCAAAUUUAAAUCAAUCAAAACUUUCAACAACGGAUCUCUUGGCUCCGGCAACGAUGAAGAACGCAGCGAACUGCGAUAAGUAAUGCGAAUCGCAGAGCCUUAGUGAGUCAUCGAAUUUUUGAACGCACAUUGCGCCCGCCAGUAUUCUGGCAGGCAUGCCUGUCCGAGCGUCGUUUACACAACCUUCAGGGGGUCUUUUCUUAGUUGAAUAGGCAGUAUCCUGGUGUUGAGGAAGCUCAUGCGUUACUGGGUAACCCCCAGGACCGGAGCUCCUUCAAAACGAGUGGGCGGUUCUAUAGGGAGAAUUACUCAAGCGUAGUAAAAAAACUUACGAAUCGUUUGAGAAUCAGGGCCUAUUGGGAACCAGCCGUUAAAACUCAGUCAGAACUUUGCUCUGGUGAAGCAACGACUAAAUUUUGUCGACCUCGGAUCAGGUAGGAAUACCCGCUGAACUUAAGCAUAUCAAUAAGCGGAGGAAAAGAAACCAACAGGGAUUGCCUCAGUAACGGCGAGUGAAGCGGCAACAGCCCAGAUUUGAAAUCCGGUUCUUUCAGUAAGAAUCUGAGUUGUAAUCUGUAGAGGAUGUCGCUGGCUACUAGUAUCUCCGAAGUCCCCCUGGAACGGGGCGCCGCAGAGGGUGAGAGUCCCGUGCGGAGAUGGCUAGAUAGUCAAUGUGCGACUCCUUCGGCGAGUCGAGUAGUUUGGGAAUGCUGCUCUAAAUGGGAGGUAAAUUCCUUCUAAGGCUAAAUAUCGGCCGGAGACCGAUAGCGCACAAGUAGAGUGAUCGAAAGAUGAAAAGCACUUUGAAAAGAGGGUUAAACAGUACGUGAAAUUGUUGAAAGGGAAGCGCCCGCGACCAGACUUGUCUGUAGUCAAUCGCCCUACGCUUGUCGUGGGGUCUCUUGACUGCGGUUUACAGGCCAGCAUCGAUUCUCGCUAGGGGAGAAGCGCAGCGGGAAUGUAGCUCCUUUCGGGGAGUGUUAUAGCCUGUUGCUUGACACCCUGGCUGGGGAUCGAGGCCCGCGUUCCGACAAGGAUGCUGGCAUAAUGGUCGCUGGCGACCCGUCUUGAAACACGGACCAAGGAGUCGAGGUUUUCCGCGAGUGUGUGGGUGAUAAACCCGCGCGCGGAAUGAAAGUGAACGUAGGUGAGAGUCUUCUCAGGGAGAUGCAUCACCGACCGAUCCCGAUGUUUUAACGGAGGGUAUCGAGUAUGAGCGGGGAGCCUCGGACCCGAAAGAUGACGAACUAUGCCUGCAUAGAAUGAAGCCAGAGGAAACUCUGGUGGAGGUUCGCAGCGGUUCUGACGUGCAAAUCGAUCGUCAAAUGUGGGCAUGGGG
Molecule: ribosomal RNA, 1558 nt
Filed under: Meliola clerodendricola
Lineage: Eukaryota; Fungi; Ascomycota; Sordariomycetes; Meliolales; Meliolaceae
Description: eukaryotic LSU rRNA
Rfam family: Eukaryotic large subunit ribosomal RNA (bases 640-1558)
Source: RNAcentral